AUGAUAGCUUGCUAUCAGGCGUCGAGCGGCGGACGGGUGAGUAAUACUUAGGAAUCUACCUAGUAGUGGGGGAUAGCACGGGGAAACUCGUAUUAAUACCGCAUACGACCUACGGGAGAAAGGGGGCAGUUUACUGCUCUCGCUAUUAGAUGAGCCUAAGUCGGAUUAGCUAGAUGGUGGGGUAAAGGCCUACCAUGGCGACGAUCUGUAGCUGGUCUGAGAGGAUGAUCAGCCACACCGGGACUGAGACACGGCCCGGACUCCUACGGGAGGCAGCAGUGGGGAAUAUUGGACAAUGGGGGAAACCCUGAUCCAGCCAUGCCGCGUGUGUGAAGAAGGCCUUUUGGUUGUAAAGCACUUUAAGCAGUGAAGAAGACUCCGUGGUUAAUACCCACGGACGAUGACAUUAGCUGCAGAAUAAGCACCGGCUAACUCUGUGCCAGCAGCCGCGGUAAUACAGAGGGUGCAAGCGUUAAUCGGAAUUACUGGGCGUAAAGGGAGCGUAGGUGGCUCUAUAAGUCAGAUGUGAAAUCCCCGGGCUUAACCUGGGAACUGCAUCUGAAACUGUAGAGCUAGAGUAUGUGAGAGGGAGGUAGAAUUUCAGGUGUAGCGGUGAAAUGCGUAGAGAUCUGAAGGAAUACCGAUGGCGAAGGCAGCCUCCUGGCAUAAUACUGACACUGAGGCUCGAAAGCGUGGGUAGCAAACAGGAUUAGAUACCCUGGUAGUCCACGCCGUAAACGAUGUCUACUAGUCGUUGGGU
Molecule: ribosomal RNA, 760 nt
Filed under: Psychrobacter sp. EST86TCBS
Lineage: Bacteria; Pseudomonadati; Pseudomonadota; Gammaproteobacteria; Moraxellales; Moraxellaceae
Description: bacterial SSU rRNA
Rfam family: Bacterial small subunit ribosomal RNA
Source: RNAcentral